UGAUAGUGAAAGUAAUCGACUGUUAAAGCUCAGGUGUCUGGAAGCCACGCCCUGUCUCAGGUGGUCCUGUCAUCUGUCCUCAUAAUCCCUGCAGAAUUCUUGGGGUGCAAGAGCAGAGCGGGGGUUUCAACUUAGGCUUGUAAGACUCAUUUACCUCUAUUAAAAAAAAAAACAAAAACAAGGGAGGCUUGUGUGCUCAUUACUGACUCGCGCCCUGGGGCCAGGGGCCAGGUGCUGGGUUGAUGCAGGGACACAGAAUGCAGGCCUUCGGGAAUCCUGAUAUCAGAAGCCGCCUUUGCACAGUAGUUGUGAGAGUAGGUAAAGGCAGUGGUGAACCAGGUCAUAAGAUGCCAUGGCAUAUCCGAGAGAAGUUGCUUGCCUCCUGGACUCUGGACAGGCUGAGGAGAUGGGGAAGGGCCUGUCCUGCACGGGGUGACACUGCUGAUGUCUCUGCCCUGCUCUGUGCAGUCACCCCAUUUCCUCUGCCCUCAAUGUUGCUCCAGAUGUACUGCCCGGAAUAACCGUAGGAUAAAGGGCUGGAAUUUAUGACCCCAUGUGUAUUUCAAAAUAAACCACAACACUUGUUAAAGGAAAUAGUUAAGUUAAAGGAAAUAGUUAAGUUUUUUAAGUUGUGGUUUCUAGCUUUAAAUCUUCAAAUUUUAGUACUUUUUAAGCCCUUGCUCCUAAAUUGGCUGUGAAGUGAAUUGAAGUGAGUGUAACGUACCCUCUGUGGAAAGGAUCAGUUUGUAAGUAAUUUUUAAUUUUUAACUUCUGUUUACUUUCAGAGCCGUAAUCCACAGUUGAGCGUUGGUGUUUUUAUUGCUGACUUAGCAGUUUGUUGCCUUGGCUGUUGGUUUUUCUUUAUGUGUGUGGAAAUAACGUGUGGAACAAAGGAGAAGGAAAUUGUUUAUGGUACUUUCAACAUUUAGAGUUUGUGCAGCCAGAAUGUCAGGUUAAAAAAAAAAAAAAUGUACUUCCUUUCCCUUAGGAGAGUGUGAAGGUUCCCAAAACUCUGUUUCUCACUUCCGAGAAACUGGAGCAGGUGUCUGCUUCCCUUCCAUCAGGAGAUCUCUGGAACCUUCUGGAAGCUGAUUCCCUUAUGAAGGGUAGCCUUUCUGAACAUUGUAUGGACAUGCUGGUGUGGAGAGGAUCUCUUUCCACACCCUCAGUGUGGAAUCUGUCAGUGUCUCGGGGCUGCCUGGGCAAAGCAGCACCCAUGUCAGCACUCAAGUCCUAGCUUCAGCUUUCAACAAGGCUGUGGUCUUUCGGGUGCUGUGGACUCCUCCUCUGACUCUGUCUCUGUUGCAUAGACCUUUAUACCAGUUUGUGACCUCAUCUCAAGUGAUCAUAUCUCCACUCAAUAAGGUGCCAGGGGUUGGGACUUGGCAUCUUCUGGGAACACAGAUUAACCCACGGAACAUUUUCUUCUGAAAUGGACGUGGCAGUCAUGCCAACUCCUCUCUGUAGGUGGGCUCUGCCCUUCCCGUUUCCUGUCUGACCUGCGUGGCUGGGGUGGUGCAGGAAUGGGGCAGCAGCCUGUUGGUUGUGGUUUCAGGUGUGGCAGGUGGUCAGCAGUGGGGAAGCAAUUGGCACUGAGCCAGAGCCCUGCCUCCUUCACCCCCUGAAGACUGCCCCAGGAGAUGUGUCAGGUGAUGGUAUUGUCGUCUUUUGGUGACAGGUUCACAGAAAACCAGAAUUUUUAUUCCCCUGGUGUGUAUUUCUGUUGUUGAGAGGUAUGAUGGAUUGAAAAAAGACAUUAGGGCCUAACAGAAUUUCUAAUUCUGGGUAGAAGAAAUGGAAAUAGAAAAGGAACAGUGUCAUUUCUGUCUACCAAGAAAGAGCAAACACUUCUUAAGGGCAGUGAUGGCAAGUCUUCAUGAUAUUUAAAUGCCACUGAGUAUAUUUAAACAAGUCACAGCUUUAUUUUAAGUCAAUAUUUAAAAUACACCAGAACUAUUUGUAAAGAUUUAAACUCAAGACGAAAAAUUGUAAAUGACAAUUGAAAGUAUUUUUCAAAUUCUUUUAAGGAGUGAUUUAGGUAGAACAUGUGGAGAGCCUGGCUGGCAGCAGGUUCUCUCUCUCUUGUAGACCUGUCCUUACAUUUUUCCUUGAUAGUGUAUGUUAAGUGGAGUAAUGUGCUGCAUGUUUAAACAUCAGGCUGCCUGAACAUUUUUAUUGCUUUCAAAAUAUUCAAUAAAAAAAUUGCUUUAUAUUUGCAUUAUGCUUGUCAUGUCACAUAGCCGCUCACAGGAGAUCAUUUUGCACUGUCAUCACCAUUUCCCACUGGGAAGCUUAUAGAGAAUGUGACCAGGAAGGAAAUGGUUCCUGUUUGCAGAGCUCAAGUUGCCAGGAGUGGACACAGAAGGCGAGAGUCCGUGCGUGCACGUCCAGCCGCCUAGAGACCGUGCACUCAGGGUGAGAGUUCACCGGGAAGGAAGGCACUUGCUGUCCCUCGGCAGCCUACAGUCAGUCUCAGGAGCAGCAGGAAGGGGCACCAGGAACUCCCACAGAUGUGGAGGUGGGGUUGAGAGGCUUCUAUAAGAUGUAUUUUGCAAUCAAUCAAUAAAUAUAUGUUUGAGAGAUUGACAAUGAGAUCAUUAUGUAAAUCCUGAAACCUAAGUCGCAGUCGUACUCAUUUUUUGAUUGAAAUAUGAUCAUUUUCAAGAUAGAAAAUGAAACCCC
RNAcentral lists this long non-coding RNA (2682 nucleotides) under Marmota monax (woodchuck). Lineage: Eukaryota; Metazoa; Chordata; Mammalia; Rodentia; Sciuridae. The record is from RNAcentral.